This is a long non-coding RNA of Gadus morhua (Atlantic cod), 1067 nucleotides long. RefSeq lists it as uncharacterized. The transcript is spliced from 3 exons. The record is from RefSeq and is a predicted model, not a curated record. NCBI's taxonomy places the organism in Eukaryota, Metazoa, Chordata, Actinopteri, Gadiformes, Gadidae.
GGUAGUUGUGGUUGAUUUUGUUUAAAUAUGCCCAAUUGUUAAAUUAUGGGUUAUAUUGUUCAGAUGAUUUAGCUAAGCUAGCUAACAACACGUCAGCAGUCUCUUGUUGCCAUAGCAACAGUAAAUAUUGAUAUGGUCUAAUGAGCUGCAAAUAGAGAUGCAGAAUCAAGCUGUAUUGUAAAUACAGAUGAGAUCCUUGAGAUACAAAAUACCAGUAAACCUAUAGGAAAUAAAUAGUUUAAUUUGCAAUAUUUGUAAUUGAUUUUAUUUUAAUCUUUCAAUUAAUGUAUUGUUUACUGAGUUGACAACUAUUUCGUAGGUAUAAUUUGUGUGUAACUUUAAUUUCUGUGUAAAUUUGUUAAUGGCUGUGUAUAGUGCUGUCUUGGGCAUUUUCAGCUAUUGUCACAAAGAUCUGACUUUUUUGCAUUGGAAAACACUAGUGUCAUAAUGAAAACAUGACAAAGCCAUUAGUGUUGUUACGCUCGUGAAAGUUUAGUUCAAUAUGAACUAAUCUUUUAUCUUGUCCAUUAUUCUGUGGUUUUGAGUUAUUUCCCCAUCCAAUGAUAAAUGCUUUCCCUAUGAAUAGCCCAGACAGGUUCAGGGAAAGUCCAGCUGGUCAGUUCAGGGAGAGAGCCAGACCAAUGCAGGCAGCCCAAAGACUAGACCAUCUGAGAGGGAAAAGGCUGUAGAGAGUGAGGAGUGUGUCAGCCUUCACUGCACUAAAGUUUGGCUGUUGAGUCUCCUCUAGUAUGGUUCACCACUUGAAAUGCGAGAGCCUGAGGAGUUUUCCCCCCUCCGUCCAUUUUCAAGGACUUGCUCUCUUACUGCCUCCACUUCACCACUUUUUGGCUAAUGAAACGUCUCUGAUUUGUUGAGUUGACCACCCUAUGUAUGAGAGCCUAAGGAGUUGUUUUCCCUCUGUCCCCUUUUGAGGACCUGCUUUGUCUCCUCCAUCAUUAACUGAGCCACUUUUGGGUUCCUGAGCUGAUUUCAUGUGGUGAGAGGAAUGCAAUAUGUGUAUGUUUAAAGGUUUAUGUGAAGAAACAUACUAUAUGUGAUAAAAUGAC